Molecule: ribosomal RNA, 54 nt
Filed under: fungal sp. 1.30.3C
Lineage: Eukaryota; Fungi
Description: partial 18S ribosomal RNA
Source: RNAcentral
GGAUCAUUACAGAGUUCAUGCCCUUCGGGGUAGACCUCCCACCCAGUGUAUUUA